UAAUCACUUGUCUCUUAAAUGGGGACCUGUAUGAAUGGCUUUUCACUCUUUCACUGUCUCUCUUCCCUCCCUCCUAAUCUUCUAAUCACGUGAAGAAGCGUGAACAAAUAAGAAAGACGAGAAGACCCUGUCGAGCUUAAGCUAACCCUGAAAUGUCGUCUACCUUUUUUCUUAGAAAGAGGUAAAUUUCAGAUAAAGUUUUGGUUGGGGCAACCGUGGAGAAAAAGAAUCCUCCAGUUAAUUAGGAAGAAAACCUUUCACCUAAAAAAUUUAGCGACCCAGUUACUCUGGUAAACGGAAAAAGUUACCGCAGGGAUAACAGCGUUAUCUUCUCUAAGAGCCCAUAUUGACGAGAAGGAUUGCGACCUCGAUGUUGGAUUGGGGUAACC
Molecule: ribosomal RNA, 389 nt
Filed under: Apostichopus japonicus (Japanese sea cucumber)
Lineage: Eukaryota; Metazoa; Echinodermata; Holothuroidea; Aspidochirotida; Stichopodidae
Description: partial 16S ribosomal RNA
Rfam family: Bacterial large subunit ribosomal RNA
Source: RNAcentral